This is a long non-coding RNA of Oncorhynchus kisutch (coho salmon), 1073 nucleotides long. RefSeq lists it as uncharacterized. The transcript is spliced from 2 exons. The record is from RefSeq and is a predicted model, not a curated record. NCBI's taxonomy places the organism in Eukaryota, Metazoa, Chordata, Actinopteri, Salmoniformes, Salmonidae.
UUUAUUACCAUACAAAUUGACGCCAUCUUUUAUGCUGCUGGCAGAACAGUGUGUCUCUGAUGUAACCUCGCGUCUCAAAGUAGCGGUCAUCUGAAUGAACAAGGAAGUAACAAGACCAUUUAUUUACUGUGCGAGAUGGCCAUCAUUCGUAUGUUGUUCUCUUUCCUGAACAAUCCACGAGUCAUUGAAAAACUAGCGGAGUCUCGUCCUAUCCGACGUGCGGCACAGAUCACAGCUUUUGCGAUCAUCAAAGCACAAAUCGCUGGGAAGGUUGCGACGGCGAAGGUCCUGAAGUCAGACACGCUACGCCAGGUUCGGCAAGAGGCAAACGGACGGAUUCCCCGAGAAGCUGGUGACAUCGGGACCCGGUUCAGAAGAGUGAGGGAGACUUUUGUCAAGGAGGUGAAAGAUGGCUUCAGAGACGCUCAGGGACAAAUAAAGAAAUGAAGAAAUUAAGCAGUAGUCUUAUGUCUGUAUGACAGACAAACAAUCAUGUGAACUGUUGACAACAUGACCCGUCUCACAACUGUCUAGGCCGACUACUAUUACAUCACUGAGCCAAUAUUUUAAUAUAUUGACGGGAACACUAAGCUACUGGUAAACCAGCUACUAUGUCUCAAAACAUACUCAAGAUUAAUGUUCCAUCAGGGAGAUAUCAUCAUGUAAUGAGUGUGGAGUGUUUUUCUGACUGGUUUAAAAACAAAGUUGCGCCCCUGUAAUGAAUGUUGGGGUUUGUGGUGGAUGAGUCUACUGUAACAGGUCUGGGUUUGUGGUGAGUUAGCCUACUGUAACACGUCUACAUACUGGAGACAGAGAUUUGUUGCAAUCUACCCAGUAGUCUUUAUUCAGGAGUUUGUGUUUGUAGAUAUGGAAUUGUCUACCUGAUCUGACUUGCAGAAUACCAUCAUAUAGUAUGUUUGCUGUAAUGCAGCCCCACGUCAGUUCCCAUGACAUAUUAUGACUUGAUGUGUUUGGAUUGUCCUCACCUAUUGGCCAAAUCUUAGUGUGCUUUUAAAUUGUCAUGUAUUUUACCAAUAAAAGAUUAUUCUGAUAAAAAAAAAAUGACUAGACAA